GACGAACGCUGGCGGCGUGCUUAACACAUGCAAGUCGAACGGAAAGGCCCUGCUUUUGUGGGGUGCUCGAGUGGCGAACGGGUGAGUAACACGUGAGUAACCUGCCCUUGACUUUGGGAUAACUUCAGGAAACUGGGGCUAAUACCGGAUAGGAGCUCCUGCUGCAUGGUGGGGGUUGGAACGUUUCGGCGGUUGGGGAUGGACUCGCGGCUUAUCAUCUUGUUGGUGGGGUAGUGACUUACCAAGGCUUUGACGGGUAGCCGGCCUGAGAGGGUGACCGGCCACAAUGGGACUGAGAUACGGCCCGGACUCCUACGGGAGGCAGCAGUGGGGAAUAUUGCACUAUGGGCGGAAGCCUGAUGCAGCAACGCCGCGUGCGGGAUGACGGCCUUCGGGUUGUAAACCGCUUUCGCCUGUGACGAAGCGUGAGUGACGGUAAUGGGUAAAGAAGCACCGGCUAACUACGUG
Molecule: ribosomal RNA, 468 nt
Filed under: uncultured bacterium
Lineage: Bacteria
Description: partial 16S ribosomal RNA
Rfam family: Bacterial small subunit ribosomal RNA
Source: RNAcentral